UUAUUAUUAUUAUCUUUUAUUUAUAUAGCGCCAACAGUUUACGCAGCGCUUAAUACAAUACAUAAAUUCAAGGGAUAUGACAAGACAAGAAUUGACAGACUAAGACAAACCGAUACAUUUGGUGGAGAGAGCCCUGCUCGCAAGCUUACAAUCUAGAGGGAAAAUGGGGUGAUAAACAUAAGGCAUAGAGGGUAUUGUGGUGGGAGUAUCGAUGACAAGGAUGUUCUAGCAGCUAAGAUGGUAUGCUUCUCUGAAGAAGUGGGUUUUUAGAUGUUUCUUGAAUGUCGGGAGGGAGGGUGAAUUCUGAAGGUUCCUUGGGAGCAGAUUCCAGAGAUAUGGGGCAGCUCGAGUGAAAUCUUGUAGACGGGAAAA
Molecule: long non-coding RNA, 372 nt
Organism: Spea bombifrons (plains spadefoot toad)
Lineage: Eukaryota; Metazoa; Chordata; Amphibia; Anura; Pelobatidae
Exons: 2
Source: RefSeq, a predicted model, not a curated record